AAACUGGGAUUAGAUACCCCACUAUGCCUAGCCGUAACACAACGAUCAAACCACCCAUCGUUCGCCAAAUAACUACGAGUAAAGACUUAAAAUUUAAAAGACUUGACGGUAUCUCACAACAGCCUAGAGGAGCCUGUCAAAUAACCGAUACCCCACGUUUAAUCCUACCCACCCUAGCCCAACAGUCUAUAUACCGCCGUCGCCAGCCCACCUUAUGAAAGAAACAAAGUGGGCCAAAUAACCACACGCUAACACGACAGGUCGAGGUGUAACUUAUGGGUGGGGUAAUGAUGGGCUACAUUUUCUAUUAUAGAAAACACGAACAAACUAUGAAACAAGAAACCGAAGGCGGAUUUAGCAGUAUGCUAAGAACAAAAUACCUAGUUGAAACCAACGCAAUGAGAUGCGUACACACCGCCCGUCAUCCCUGUCAACUUAACUAAAAAAUCCAUAAUUUACACUAAUCUUCAAAGCAGGGCAAGUCGUAACA
RNAcentral lists this ribosomal RNA (490 nucleotides) under Tantilla impensa (greater centipede snake). Its description in RNAcentral is "partial 12S ribosomal RNA". Lineage: Eukaryota; Metazoa; Chordata; Lepidosauria; Squamata; Colubridae. The record is from RNAcentral.